GAUGAACGCUAGCGGCAGGCCUAACACAUGCAAGUCGAGGGAGAGGUUACCUUCGGGUAACCAAAACCGGCGCACGGGUGCGUAACGCGUAUACAAUCUGCCUUUCACAUAGGGAUAGCCCGAAGAAAUUUGGAUUAAUACCUAAUGGUAUAUAAGAGCGGCAUCGUUUUUAUAUUAAAGCUACGGUGGUGAAAGAUGAGUAUGCGUUCUAUUAGCUAGUUGGAGAGGUAACGGCUCCCCAAGGCGACGAUAGAUAGGGGUUCUGAGAGGGAUGUCCCCCACACUGGUACUGAGUUACGGACCAGACUCCUACGGGAGGCAGCAGUGAGGAAUAUUGGACAAUGGUCGGAAGACUGAUCCAGCCAUGCCGCGUGCAGGAUGAAGGUCCUAUGGAUUGUAAACUGCUUUUGUAAGGGAAGAAUAAGGAGUACGUGUACUUUGAUGACGGUACCUUACGAAUAAGCAUCGGCUAACUCCGUG
RNAcentral lists this ribosomal RNA (480 nucleotides) under uncultured bacterium. RNAcentral describes it as "partial 16S ribosomal RNA". It matches the Rfam family "Bacterial small subunit ribosomal RNA", at positions 28 to 507 of the family's 1533-position model. The record is from RNAcentral.